This 663-nucleotide long non-coding RNA is filed under the name Homo sapiens (human). RNAcentral describes it as "HSALNT0299559". Lineage: Eukaryota; Metazoa; Chordata; Mammalia; Primates; Hominidae. The record is from RNAcentral.
CACUUUUCAAUAAUUUAUUUUUAAAAGUUAUUUUAUUCCUAAACAGUAGAGUUCACAUCUUUUUCUGCUAAGUUCUUCCACAAGCUGGCAAAGGAUCCAAGAUGUAGCCUGGCAUUUAUCUUUGUUCUCUUUGCCACUCUCAUGGAAAUAUGGUGAAUGCAGUCCGUUCUUAACGGUCGUAUUUAGCCUCGGUUCUGUGAAUUCGAUUUUCUUUUCCUUUUUAAAGGCGAUAGAGUGGGAUCCAAUAGACGUUGGAGCUGACUCUGAGCUUUUUUGACUUGUACGUGUCACAUCUGAAGGCAAGUUCCCUCGUGCUGGAUGAAAGCUAAAAGGCUGGGUGCCCGGUUUACCAUCAGCUCAGGGCAGAAUAAUGAUGCGAGGCCUGACAUUUAAUACACCAGUGAUCCCAGAUAUUGCUGCUGAAAGCUUUCUCCACAAAGCAGGAACCAGAAGAACCUUACGGCAGUGUCUGACUUUAAUUCACAAGUGAGGGAGCCGUGAGGUUUCAUCUUCUCAGAAAGAACUUUUCACGGAGCAUGGUGGUGCACGCCUGUAAUCCCAGCUACCCAGGAGUCUGAGGCAGGAGGAUUGCGUGAGUCCAGGGGUUCAAGGACAGCCUGGGCAACAUAGUGAGACCCCUGUCUCAAAAGUAAAUAAGUAAAA